UAUGUGAUCGUCUCUCGCAUAUCAAUAAGCGGAGGAAAAGAAACUAACAAGGAUUCCCCUAGUAACGGCGAGUGAAGCGGGAAGAGCUCAAAUUUGAAAUCUUAAAGGGUUUCCCUUUACGAAUUGUAGUUUAAAGAAGUGUUUUCUGUUGAGGUUUUGGUAAAAGUUCUUUGGAAUAGGACAUCAUAGAGGGUGAGAAUCCCGUAUUUGACCUUUACUUUCAACCUUUGUGAUACACUUUCAAAGAGUCGGAUUGUUUGGGAAUGCAGUCCAAAAUGGGUGGUAAAUUUCAUCUAAAGCUAAAUAUUGGCGAGAGACCGAUAGCGAACAAGUACCGUGAGGGAAAGAUGAAAAGAACUUUGAAAAGAGAGUUAAACAGUACGUGAAAUUGUCAAAAGGGAAGCGUUUGACACCAGUGUUGUUUUUCUGAAAAUCAAUUAAAGAACUGUUUAUGCUAAGCUGUUUAGACUUUAUCAGCUAACUGUUUAGUUUUGAGCUUUUCUUUAAUGCACUUUUCAGUUAACAAGUCAACAUCAAUUUCUUUUGCUGUAAAAAAGCUUGAGGAAGGUGGCUUGAGAUUCGUCUUAAGUGUUUAUAGCCUCUUGCCUAUGCAGUCGGAGAGAUUGAGGUCUGCAGCGUAGAUCCUUCGGGGCUAAAUGCAUUUGUGCUAAGUUAUAGCAUUUUAUAGACAACUUGUUGACUAUGAUUUGUCUUGUAGCUUACUCGCUUAUGUUAUUUUACCUACGCUUAGGAUGUUGAUAUGCAUGACUGAUA
Molecule: ribosomal RNA, 774 nt
Filed under: uncultured Neocallimastigales
Lineage: Eukaryota; Fungi; Neocallimastigomycota; Neocallimastigomycetes; Neocallimastigales
Description: partial large subunit ribosomal RNA
Rfam family: Eukaryotic large subunit ribosomal RNA
Source: RNAcentral